UGCGCAGGCGGAUUGUUAAGCAAGACGUGAAAUCCCCGGGCUUAACCUGGGAAUGGCGUUUUGAACUGGCAGUCUAGAGUGCGUCAGAGGGGGGUGGAAUUCCACGUGUAGCAGUGAAAUGCGUAGAGAUGUGGAGGAACACCGAUGGCGAAGGCAGCCCCCCUGGGAUGACACUGACGCUCAUGUACGAAAGCGUGGGUAGCAAACA
RNAcentral lists this ribosomal RNA (208 nucleotides) under uncultured Thiobacillus sp. RNAcentral describes it as "partial 16S ribosomal RNA". It matches the Rfam family "Bacterial small subunit ribosomal RNA", at positions 568 to 774 of the family's 1533-position model. The record is from RNAcentral. Lineage: Bacteria; Pseudomonadati; Pseudomonadota; Betaproteobacteria; Nitrosomonadales; Thiobacillaceae.